GUGUCAGCAGCCGCGGUAAUACGAAGGGGGCUAGCGUUGUUCGGAAUCACUGGGCGUAAAGGGCGCGUAGGCGGUUGGGGAAGUCCGUGGUGAAAGCCUGUGGCUCAACCACAGAAUUGCCUUCGAUACUGCAUGGCUUGAGACCGGAAGAGGUUAGUGGAACUGCGAGUGUAGAGGUGAAAUUCGUAGAUAUUCGCAAGAACACCAGUGGCGAAGGCGGCUGACUGGUCCGGAUCUGACGCUGAGGCGCGAAAGCGUGGGGAGCAAACAGGAUUAGAAACCCCUGUAGUCC
Molecule: ribosomal RNA, 292 nt
Filed under: uncultured bacterium
Lineage: Bacteria
Description: partial 16S ribosomal RNA
Rfam family: Bacterial small subunit ribosomal RNA
Source: RNAcentral